This 1238-nucleotide long non-coding RNA is filed under the name Dromaius novaehollandiae (emu). Its description in RNAcentral is "lncRNA (ENSDNVG00000013311.1)". Lineage: Eukaryota; Metazoa; Chordata; Aves; Casuariiformes; Dromaiidae. The record is from RNAcentral.
UCUUGCACACAGCAGUGCCAAAGACUGAUGGAUCAAAUCCUAUCUCGCCAAAUCCAGCCACUGGAGCUUCAAGGAGGACAUGACAGAAUGGCAGCAGUCCUUCCUCCAGCAAACAAAAUAAAUAGUCAGAUCUAAUAGACACCAUCGGUAAUUAGAUUUUGCACACUAAGAUAUACUGUAUGUGUGUAUCAGGCCAAAGCAGCACAGUUUCCACUUCAAAACACUGAAAAUCAGAUUUUUCUUAACUGAAAGCUGUGUUCAAAGUAUCCAUGUGCGAAUUUUUACUUUACUAAAGCCUUUCGAACUGUGGCAUAUGAAAUGAUUUAGAAGCCAAAUCUCACAGAGCCAUUCAGGCUAUAUUCUCUGUGCCAGUAACUCUUUAGUCUUUCAAGGCUGUGAAUUCCCAGCUUGUGAAGUUAAUUCCAGUGAGUUCUCAUUCUGAAGUUUCUCUUAGCCCCGAACUGCCAGUUAACAAGCUCACAGCCAGGGUUUGUAAGAGGAUGAGACCUGCUGCAGCUGGAGCUUUCAACAAGACUUUGCAGUCAUGCAACUGCGAAAUUUCAUAGAGCUGCUGCAAUAGGCACAGUGUAACUCACUUGGCAAUAUAUGAUCUUCAGUUUCCAUAAUUUAAUUUUGAAAACAAGACCCAAAGUGCAUAUACCUAGCUAGUCUCUCUUCUGGAACAUCGUAAUAUGCUGACGUGUCAGCAAGUCUAUCAGUGGAGAGAGGUUAAUGCCCCAGCAGAAAAGAUGCUAAUACCAAAAUAACAAUGAUCCGCAGAACUCUGAAGAGCAUCACAGAGCAGGUUGGAAAGAUGUCAUGCAAGGUCAGCCUGGACAUUGAAGGAAACUGCAAUGCCAUUCACAAAGAGCUUCAGACCAUCCUGAGGACAGGCCAUUGAGGUUCUCUGAAACACAGCGGAGAAAUGUCACUGAGAUUCUUCAGAACAUAAAGCAGUGAACAAUACUCAAUUUGCAAUGCCUGAAGGCAAUAUCUUCUGUGGUCUGAUGGAUACAUCACUACCCAUAAGUCAGAAGAAGGUGGUUUUAUCACAACUUUGCCAGGAGACUACRUCAGCUCGGGGUCAUGCCACAUCUAUACUCUGAGGUAUGUGACAACUAUACUCUGACUCCUCCUUACUCUGAAUAUAUACACCACAUAGCACUGGUUUCCCAGUACUGGGGGUGCUUCUGGGUCCCACUGUAACAUAUUAGUAAUAAAUCCUCAGAGCACAUUCA